GGCAUGGCUUAGUGGUCUGAGUGUUGGACUAUGACUCUGGAGACCAGGGUCUGAUUCCCUGCUUGGCCA
Molecule: transfer RNA, 69 nt
Filed under: Phrynosoma platyrhinos (Desert horned lizard)
Lineage: Eukaryota; Metazoa; Chordata; Lepidosauria; Squamata; Phrynosomatidae
Description: tRNA-OTHER
Source: RNAcentral